GAUGAACGCUGGCGGCGUGCCUAAUACAUGCAAGUAGAACGCUGAAGCUUGGUGCUUGCACCGAGCGGAUGAGUUGCGAACGGGUGAGUAACGCGUAGGUAACCUGCCUCUUAGCGGGGGAUAACUAUUGGAAACGAUAGCUAAUACCGCAUAAAAGUCGACAUCGCAUGAUGUUGACUUGAAAGGUGCAAUUGCAUCACUAAGAGAUGGACCUGCGUUGUAUUAGCUAGUUGGUGAGGUAACGGCUCACCAAGGCGACGAUACAUAGCCGACCUGAGAGGGUGAUCGGCCACACUGGGACUGAGACACGGCCCAGACUCCUACGGGAGGCAGCAGUAGGGAAUCUUCGGCAAUGGGGGCAACCCUGACCGAGCAACGCCGCGUGAGUGAAGAAGGUUUUCGGAUCGUAAAGCUCUGUUGUAAGAGAAGAACGAGUGUGAGAGUGGAAAGUUCACACUGUGACGGUAACUUACCAGAAAGGGACGGCUAA
This 490-nucleotide ribosomal RNA is filed under the name Streptococcus parasanguinis. RNAcentral describes it as "bacterial SSU rRNA". It matches the Rfam family "Bacterial small subunit ribosomal RNA", at positions 28 to 500 of the family's 1533-position model. Lineage: Bacteria; Bacillati; Bacillota; Bacilli; Lactobacillales; Streptococcaceae. The record is from RNAcentral.